This 68-nucleotide transfer RNA is filed under the name Acropyga silvestrii. RNAcentral's name for it is "tRNA-His". Lineage: Eukaryota; Metazoa; Arthropoda; Insecta; Hymenoptera; Formicidae. The record is from RNAcentral.
AUUUAAGUAGUUUAAGGUUGAAAAUAUUGAUUUGUGAAGUUAAAGAUAUAGAGAUUUUAUCUUAAAUA